Bombina bombina (fire-bellied toad) is the source of this 266-nucleotide long non-coding RNA. RefSeq lists it as uncharacterized. The record is from RefSeq and is a predicted model, not a curated record. NCBI's taxonomy places the organism in Eukaryota, Metazoa, Chordata, Amphibia, Anura, Bombinatoridae. The transcript has 2 exons.
CAACACCUGGCGGUUGGAGCCUUUAAACAUGGAUGGAGGGGGAAAAACACACGUCACGCAAGAUCACAGUGUCCCUCUGGCCCCCUCACCUCUGCUGUCUUUGCCCAGUGCAGCGGUGUUGCACAAUACCGUGGGUCCUCUACACGAGACUGGCUUGCAGUAAAAUCCAAGAUGGCUUCUGCGCACCUACAAGAAACACAAGGAAUGAUAGAAUCAGUGUCUCGCUCCCUUACUAUUGCCUUACAAAUAAAAUAACACCCGUUUCA